RNAcentral lists this ribosomal RNA (301 nucleotides) under uncultured bacterium. Its description in RNAcentral is "partial 16S ribosomal RNA". It matches the Rfam family "Bacterial small subunit ribosomal RNA", at positions 509 to 807 of the family's 1533-position model. The record is from RNAcentral.
CAGCAGCCACGGGAAUACGUAGGGUGCGAGCGUUAAUCGGAAUUACUGGGCGUAAAGCGUGCGCAGGCGGUUCGUUAAGACAGAUGUGAAAUCCCCGGGCUUAACCUGGGAACUGCAUUUGUGACUGGCGAGCUAGAGUAUGGCAGAGGGGGGUAGAAUUCCACGUGUAGCAGUGAAAUGCGUAGAGAUGUGGAGGAAUACCGAUGGCGAAGGCAGCCCCCUGGGCCAAUACUGACGCUCAUGCACGAAAGCGUGGGGAGCAAACAGGAUUAGAUACCCCUGUAGUCCCUGUCUCUUAUAC